Molecule: non-coding RNA, 82 nt
Filed under: Paenibacillus sp.
Lineage: Bacteria; Bacillati; Bacillota; Bacilli; Caryophanales; Paenibacillaceae
Also listed under: 1 other name
Description: ZTP sequence
Rfam family: ZMP/ZTP riboswitch aptamer (pfl RNA motif)
About the family: Previously known as pfl RNA. ZMP is also known as AICAR.
Source: RNAcentral
UUUGGUAUGCGUAACUGGCGAAAACGCAGAGCACUGCGGGGGAGCGCAUAUGUCAUAGCAGCCGUUCGCCUGGGCAAAGUAU